AUUGAACGCUGGCGGCAGGCCUAACACAUGCAAGUCGAGCGGUAGAGAGGUGCUUGCAUCUCUUGAGAGCGGCGGACGGGUGAGUAAUGCCUAGGAAUCUGCCUAGUGGUGGGGGAUAACGUUCGGAAACGGACGCUAAUACCGCAUACGUCCUGCGGGAGAAAGCGGGGGAUCUUCGGACCUCGCGCCAUUAGAUGAGCCUAGGUCGGAUUAGCUAGUUGGUGAGGUAAUGGCUCACCAAGGCGACGAUCCGUAACUGGUCUGAGAGGAUGAUCAGUCACACUGGAACUGAGACACGGUCCAGACUCCUACGGGAGGCAGCAGUGGGGAAUAUUGGACAAUGGGCGAAAGCCUGAUCCAGCCAUGCCGCGUGUGUGAAGAAGGCCUCGGUUGGUUAAGGUACGACUUUCUACGUCGAGGAGGAAGAGU
Molecule: ribosomal RNA, 429 nt
Filed under: uncultured bacterium
Lineage: Bacteria
Description: bacterial SSU rRNA
Rfam family: Bacterial small subunit ribosomal RNA
Source: RNAcentral